UCGUAGACUACGACGUUGAUAGGCAGGGUGUGUAAGCGUUGUGAGGCGUUGAGCUAACCUGUACUAAUUGCCCGUGAGGCUUAACCAUACAACACCCAAGGGGUUU
This 106-nucleotide ribosomal RNA is filed under the name Vibrio parahaemolyticus. Its description in RNAcentral is "partial 23S ribosomal RNA". The stretch from base 1 to 88 matches the Rfam family "Bacterial large subunit ribosomal RNA", at positions 2838 to 2925 of the family's 2925-position model. RNAcentral also lists the same sequence under 3 other names. The record is from RNAcentral. Lineage: Bacteria; Pseudomonadati; Pseudomonadota; Gammaproteobacteria; Vibrionales; Vibrionaceae.